AACAAUAGCAGCAUUAACAGUCAUUGGACUCCCACCGAGUGUGUUAUUCUUUAAAUUAGAACCCAUGAAUAUAAUGAGAUGGAUUUUCACAGGAACAAGGGCAGGCUGAAACAAAGAGGUAUUGCUUUUUAUUCUUAUUUCCCUUGAUUUUUGCAUGAUUUAAACAUUUUGAACCUUAACUGUUCUUUUCAUUUUACUUUUGAGUUGGGGAGGGUGAUAUCAUGUUAAUGUUAGAAAGAAAAAGGACCAUCUUUUUAGAAUGCAAAUAGAGGCAGAAACUCUAUUUAUGAAAAUUUAAAGAACUGUAUGAAACAACUCCAAAACAUAGCAUCCUCAAUCAGCAUCAGAAUGACGCUUUUCUUUCUUGUGUGCUUGAUUUUUAAAAUUAUCUUAAUAGACACUGUGAAGGUCCCUUGUGUUACUCAGGGGCAGGCUUGACUCAUGGAUAGAAGCACUGAAGUUGUGUUUGUGACUUGUGGCUCUGCCUUAGGCUGAUCAUAAAGUAGAAGUUGCGUCCAUAGGAGGCUUCUUACCCACCCAGUGAAAAUUUAGUCCAUUUCUCUUUAGGAGAGAGCCUGUUCUGGUCUUCUUUUCCUGGACGGUGGAUACAUUUUUCACACUUUAUGAGUUUGCCUUUCCAGAGCCUUAUAGGGGAUCAGGUUGUUGCACCGCUCUGAUAUUCAUGCCACUGAAAACUUAAAUCAAGCUUUAUUUACUGUUCUAAUUGAAUAGCCCCC
This 737-nucleotide long non-coding RNA is filed under the name Homo sapiens (human). RNAcentral's name for it is "non-protein coding lnc-NOX3-9:2". Lineage: Eukaryota; Metazoa; Chordata; Mammalia; Primates; Hominidae. The record is from RNAcentral.